Molecule: transfer RNA, 71 nt
Filed under: Rupornis magnirostris (Roadside hawk)
Lineage: Eukaryota; Metazoa; Chordata; Aves; Accipitriformes; Accipitridae
Description: tRNA-Val
Source: RNAcentral
CAGGGUGUAGCUAUAAUACAAAGCAUUCAGCUUACACCUGAAAGAUACCUAUCUCCACCAGGUCACCCUGA